This 30-nucleotide small RNA is filed under the name Bombyx mori (domestic silkworm). Its description in RNAcentral is "ovarian small RNA-30005". Lineage: Eukaryota; Metazoa; Arthropoda; Insecta; Lepidoptera; Bombycidae. The record is from RNAcentral.
UCUGGCAGAAGGAGCCCUACCGAGGCGAUC